CUACGGGUCGCACCAGUGGGGAAUAUUGGACAAUGGGGGAAACCCUGAUCCAGCAAUGCCGCGUGUGUGAAGAAGGCCUGCGGGUUGUAAAGCACUUUCGGUUGGGAGGACUGCUUCUAGCACUAAUAUUGUUGGAAGUUGACGUUACCUUCAGAAGAAGCACCGGCUAACUCCGUGCCAGCAGCCGCGGUAAUACGGAGGGUGCAAGCGUUAAUCGGAAUUACUGGGCGUAAAGCGCGCGUAGGCGGCUAGAUCAGUCGGGGGUGAAAGCCCCGGGCUUAACCUGGGAACUGCAUCCGAUACUGUCUAGCUUGAGUACAGGAGAGGAGAGUGGAAUUCCACAUGUAGCGGUGAAAUGCGUAGAUAUGUGGAGGAACACCAAUGGCGAAGGCAGCUCUCUGGCCUGAUACUGACGCUGAGGUGCGAAAGCGUGGGGGGCAAACAGGAUUAGAUACCCCUGUAGUC
This 465-nucleotide ribosomal RNA is filed under the name uncultured bacterium. RNAcentral describes it as "partial 16S ribosomal RNA". It matches the Rfam family "Bacterial small subunit ribosomal RNA", at positions 339 to 795 of the family's 1533-position model. The record is from RNAcentral.